RNAcentral lists this ribosomal RNA (459 nucleotides) under uncultured bacterium. RNAcentral describes it as "partial 16S ribosomal RNA". It matches the Rfam family "Bacterial small subunit ribosomal RNA", at positions 338 to 795 of the family's 1533-position model. The record is from RNAcentral.
CCUACGGGAGGCAGCAGUGAGGAAUAUUGGUCAAUGGCCGAGAGGCUGAACCAGCCAAGUCGCGUGAGGGAAGACGGCCCUACGGGUUGUAAACCUCUUUUGUCGGGGAGCAAAGCGAGUCACGUGUGACUCAUUGAGAGUACCCGAAGAAAAAGCAUCGGCCCACUCCGUGCCAGCAGCCGCGGUAAUACGGAGGAUGCGAGCGUUAUCCGGAUUUAUUGGGUUUAAAGGGUGCGCAGGCGGAGGUGCAAGUCAGCGGUCAAAUUGCGGGGCUCAACCCCGUACUGCCGUUGAAACUGCAGCCCUUGAGUGCGCGAGAAGUAUGCGGAAUGCGUGGUGUAGCGGUGAAAUGCAUAGAUAUCACGCAGAACUCCGAUUGCGAAGGCAGCAUACCGGCGCGCAACUGACGCUCAUGCACGAAAGCGUGGGUAUCGAACAGGAUUAGAUACCCCUGUAGUC